GAUGAAGAACGUAGCGAAAUGCGAUAAGUAGUGUGAAUUGCAGAAUUCAGUGAAUCAUCGAAUCUUUGAACGCACAUUGCGCCCUUUGGUAUUCCAAAGGGCAUGCCUGUUCGAGCGUCAUUUGUACCCUCAAGCUUUGCUUGGUGUUGGGCGUCUUGUCUCUAGCUUUGCUGGAGACUCGCCUUAAAGUAAUUGGCAGCCGGCCUACUGGUUUCGGAGCGCAGCACAAGUCGCACUCUCUAUCAGCAAAGGUCUAGCAUCCACUAAGCCUUUUUUUUCAACUUUUGACCUCGGAUCAGGUAGGGAUACCCGCUGAACUUAAGCAUAUCAAUAAGCGGAGGA
Molecule: unclassified non-coding RNA, 342 nt
Filed under: soil metagenome
Description: partial contains 5.8S ribosomal RNA, internal transcribed spacer 2, and large subunit ribosomal RNA
Rfam family: 5.8S ribosomal RNA (bases 1-120)
Source: RNAcentral